GCACAGCGCGGGCGCAGGCGCCGAGAGGCGCACGGGAGACCUCAGGCCCAGACUCCACUCCCCAGCUGUGAAAGGACUGCUGGCCAGACCCCCAAGCUAGCCCGCCAGGCCUCCAUAGAGCUGCCCAGCAUGGCUGCGUCCAGUACCAAGAGUUGGUGGGAGACGGGUGAAGUACAGGCUCAGUCUGCGGCCAAGACUCCAUCCUGCAAGGAUAUUGUGGCUGGAGACAUGAGCAAGAAAAGCCUCUGGGAGCAGAAGGGAGGCUCCAAGACCUCAUCAACAAUUAAGAUGGACUCUGUGACUACAUGACUAAUAAAAUAUGGCAGAAAUGACACCAUGCAGUUUCCAAGCCCAGGCCUUAGGAGACAGGCAGCUUCCAGUUCAGUCUUUUGGAGGGUCAGCUCUGGGGCCCUCAGCCAUCACGCAUGGAGUCCAACCACCCUGAGACGUCAUGCUGGAGACCCACCUGUGGAUGCCCCAGUCAAGAGUCCUGGCUGAGCCCAGCCUCCCAGCCACCCCCACCCAAGGCAUCAGACCACGAAGCUUCUGGCCAAGGCUUCACCAACUUCACUUGAUGCUGUGAGGAACAGAACUGCCCAUCCAAGCCCUGCCAGAAUUUCUAACCCACAAAGCCAUGAGUCACAAUAAAUGCCAUGGGACAAAAACAGUCAUGCAUGUUGCUUUUGUCAUACAUUAGUGGUAGUUCAUCGCACGGCAAUAGAAAACCAAAAUACCUGUCUACUGGGUUCGUCCAUUUGGAUGCCACAGAGGCACCUGAAACAGAACACGUUCAUUACUUAACUCUGGUUCUUCCUUCCACACUGACCUCCACCCACUGCUCCCAAGGUUGCCCCUCCUCCAGAGUCCUCCAUCUCCAACAUAGUAUCACCAUCUCCCCAGGAACUCAAGUGUGAAGGCAGGGGUCAUGUUUGGCAUCUGUCACCCUUUGCGAGUUGCAACCUGGAGACCCUGGAGGGUGUUAUGAUGAGUGAAAUAACCUAAUCACAAAAGGACUAAUACUCCACAAAUUCACUUAUAUGAGGAGUCUAGGAGUCAAAUUCCUAGAGACUGAAAGAACGGUGGUUGUCAGGGGCUGGGGAGAAUGGGGAGUUCAUAUUUAAUGGGGGCAGAGUUUCAGUUUUGCCAGAUGAGAAUAACCUGGAAAUGGAUGGUGUGAUGUUUGCACAAUGUGAACGUACUUUACUCCACUAUACAUUUGAAAGUGGGUGCAAUGGAAAAGUUUAUGUGAUGAGUUUUUUACCACAAUUAAAAAUAUAACAAAAUAA
Long non-coding RNA from Homo sapiens (human), 1286 nucleotides. Ensembl annotates it as LSP1 pseudogene 5. Its record names the gene LSP1P5. NCBI's taxonomy places the organism in Eukaryota, Metazoa, Chordata, Mammalia, Primates, Hominidae. The record is from Ensembl.